RNAcentral lists this unclassified non-coding RNA (258 nucleotides) under Borreliella valaisiana. Lineage: Bacteria; Pseudomonadati; Spirochaetota; Spirochaetia; Spirochaetales; Borreliaceae. The record is from RNAcentral.
UCUGCGAGUUCGCGGGAGAGUAAGUUAUUGCCAGSGUYUUUAUUUUGUACUUCAAACUUUAAAUUUAUUUUUUAUGUUUUUUAAAUAUUCAUGUUUUUGAAUGUUUUAUUCAAAUAAUGUAAAAAAUAAAAUAGAUAUUGACAUGGAUUAAACAAAGAUAUAUAUUAUUUUAUGUUGCAUAAACAAAUUGGCAAAAUAGAGAUGGAAGAUAAAAAUAUGGUCAAAGURAUAAGAGUCUAUGGUGAAUGCCUAGGAAGA